GCGAGAGUGGCGGAAUUGGUAGACGCGCCAGAUUUAGGAUCUGGUGGGAUUUCCUGUGGGGGUUCAAGUCCCCCCUCUCGUA
This 82-nucleotide transfer RNA is filed under the name Nitrospirota bacterium. Its description in RNAcentral is "tRNA-Leu". It matches the Rfam family "tRNA". From Rfam's summary of the family: Transfer RNA (tRNA) molecules are approximately 80 nucleotides in length. RNAcentral also lists the same sequence under 3 other names. The record is from RNAcentral. Lineage: Bacteria; Pseudomonadati; Nitrospirota.